Molecule: long non-coding RNA, 3663 nt
Organism: Hirundo rustica (Barn swallow)
Lineage: Eukaryota; Metazoa; Chordata; Aves; Passeriformes; Hirundinidae
Exons: 5
Source: RefSeq, a predicted model, not a curated record
ACAGGUCCUUAGCUGACCUGCUGAAGUUUCCUAGUAGUCUAUUGAUGAUGCUAGUCAAGAAUAUUGCGACUUCUGCCGUCUCCAGUUACCUGUGGCCCGGUGGGAAAUUUAUAUGGUGGAGUGUUUGACCUCACAGGGUGCAUAAAAGCCCUUUGACCUCAAGUGUGUAUGCUGAAAAUUCAGAUCCCAUCUGGACCCGGUGAAUGUGUGACUUGAAAGAAGGCAAAUGAAUGAAGCCUUCCAUGGUCUGGAGCUCCAGCAGAGAAGUGCUGCAGAUCACCUGGGAAGAUCCCAGUGCUGUGUUCAGCCAUCUGUAUGUAUUACAUAAAACAUACAUAUGUCAUGCACUAUUGAAGACAUGGAUAUAAGAUUUCUGAAAACUAAGGUGCUGCAGCUCCAUGAAAAUUCAUCUUUGUGCCACUGAGGCACACAGCAACAGUAAGAACAGCCUUCAGGGAGUGCUUCACCUGGUACUGGGUUUCAAAGAGGCAUUUUUCAGACUGUGGCUUCACAGUUUUUAAGAGCUCUCUGGAAAUAUCUCCCAAUCCCAUGGCUCCACGGAUUGCCAGCUGAAGAUGACCAUUUGUGAAACUGGACUUCAAGCCAAGUCUGUGGCCAAAAUAGACUGCAAAAAUGAUGAAUCACAACUAAAUACUGCUGCACAAUACUACACUUAUGCUGUUCUGCCACUUUUGGGGUUGCAAUCUAACCAUCUGUUAAUUGGCCCCGUCACACAUUGCUAUGGGGUGCUGAGAUUCAUUGCAGGCCUUACAGGAUGAUCGGUGUUUCUGGAGCCAUUCAGGAUGUGGCCCCGCAGCUUUUCAGCUCCUGCUGCUGUUUACAUCAAGCGCACUAAGGCUGGCUCUCCCAGCUGCCACGCUCCAGCUGAUUGCCUCAAACUCAUUGCUAUUUUAUGACCAGCGAUUGUGUCUGAGCAGAAGGAUGUGAGUGCUUCACCUGCCUUCAAGAAAAUCAGCUUGUGCCAAGGAGGACAGGAUUUUUAGGCAUUGUGACUGUCAGUUAACCAAACCUGGAAGCAAAGAGUGAUGCUUUGUGUGGGACGGGACUGAUCCUGCACCCCAGCACUCAACCUUGGCAUUGCUUUCACAGGGAUCAGAAUCAUUCCUGGACGAGCUAAGACCCGCUUAUGUUUAUGUUCCUUUCUAAAACUUUCUAAAACUAAUCUCUCUUUUCUCCACUGCACAUAUAUUCACAUUUGUGCUAAUGAAAGCGGUGGAUUGUUCCAGGGGAUCACAUGGAAAAUAUCUGUGAGCUUUGGCCAUCUCUCUGAAAUACUACAGUCAAUUUGGUGUUUGCUUUGGCGUGUUGCUGUGAAAGAUUGUAGAGUGCUUGUGUUUGUACGCAUACAGGGAAAGAGGGCUCCUGCUCAUUGUGCCUUUGUGAGGCUGCCAGACUGUCUGGCCCCAUCUAUUCUACUGUAAGUGAAAAGAGCCUUGCGAGCACUCGCUGCGUGCUUGGACCAGGCUCUGCUAGGUACUCUGGUUGGAAGUCAUUCUGUCAGCUUGAAAAAUAUCUUUCUGCCUGAAUAGUGUUUACUCGCUGUUGAUACAAGUAACGCGUAAGAUUGCUCGUCAGUGAAGAAAUUUUUCCUUUUUCCCUUUGUUUCUUCCGUGCACUGGGCAGCUUUGCAUACAGUGCAUUUUGGUGGCCCUCCUGUACUAGGAGCAGCCAGCUGCUCCUUGUGAACAAGAGAGGAAUUUCCAUACAGAAGAAUGAGAAGUAAUGUGUGAAAACUGGAGGUACGAUGCAGCCCUGGUUGAAAGAUUUGGACAUUGCCCUUGACAAAGGACAUUCCUCCUGUAGCCUGCUGCCCUCUGAAGUAAGGUAAGACAGAGGCUUUCAGGUGGAAGGCUUUUCUGUCCAAAGUGAGAUUUCUGUGCUCUGUGUAGAGAGAUAAUGUCCAGCUCAAAGCUCCUACAACAACCUUUGAGAAUAUGAGGGAUUACACCAGCAACCCCUCUGUUAAUUUUCUUGUCUGCAAGAAAGCUCACUCUAAAAUUUAAUGAUAUCUAUGAGCUCCUGCUGAAAAGUCAUGGGCCGUGGGACCUGCAUUUGACUAGUAAUUAUAAAGUGCUUUGAUAUAGAACUUGGAAUACGAAUAGCAGUUUGUAGAAUUCAGGUCUUCUCUCCUUUUUCAAGUGACAACAAAUAUUUAUCUCAGAUUUCCUCUUCUGGAAGGAAUAGCUGGAAAACAAAUGUGCACUGAUGGGAAUUGCCAGAUACCUGGACCCAACCUGUAGCCCAGCUAUCCCGGAGUACGGUCUGUAGCUGCACUGAAUAUUUGGAGGAAGAUGCUAAUACUGCUGGAAUGGAUGAUUGCAACUAAACUGCAAACAAACCUGCCCACUGCCUCCCAGAGAGCUCUGUCAGCUUUUGUUUCAAGCAGCAGCUCUGUUAAUUUCAGCAGGGGAGGCACACUAGCUUAUUCUCAAGAAUUAAUAUUUUUUGUUUUCUUUCUACUGUCAAGCUUUGCCAGCCAGUUUUGCUCUACAAAAUCUAUAAGUAGGGAAGAUAGGUGUUUUCUUUUGUACAACGGACAUGAAGGAAUUAAAGGAUUCAAGAUUGUAAAACCUUCAUGAAUAAUUCAGGCUGUUUUUCCAACAAAUAUUCACUCUUCUACAUACACACUGAUGCUGGGCUCAGACAUUUUGCUAUCAGCAACAGAGCCAAACCCCCACGAGCCAAAAGUAAAUACACUUUCAUUCAGUGUCAGCCAUCAAUCUCUUCCCAGCUUUCAGUACAUACUCUUGUCAAUUAGGGGCUUCUGCUUGAGAAAUCUGGCCUGUUAGCUUGCAGUGAAAAUAGAUAGGACCAGGCACAUUAUCUGCACAAAGCUCCCCUGUGAGACUCUGUGCAGCCCAGCCAGCCUUGUUCCUCCUACUGCUGUGCUUCUCGUUGCUUCUGUGAACAAACACUGCUGCACACACUUUGACCAAUGUACGCAGACACUUGGCUUCUCACUGAAGCAGCCAAACUACUUGAGGCAGGAACAGCAGGAACCUUCUCAAGAAAACCAGUCAGUGAGCUUCUCUGUGUCUUGGCUUGAUGGUUUUGGGGGAUAUUAGUGACAUUGUGGAGACUGAAGAGAGCCUAGAAAUUUGCAGUUGACUGGUAGCCUACGUCAGAUUCUCUUAGUCCUGCCAGUGUGAGACCUUUAGGCAAGGAUUUUCCCUGUUGUAACCUUUUAGUUUUUUGGCUGGGGGAUUUUGCCUAACAUUUGGAAAUACUGAAAGUAAACUCUAAGAGGGCUUGGUUCAUCAAGAAAGAACCUUAGCAAAGCUUUGCCUGGUACAAAUGGAUCAAUCCCCCAGCUCAAGGGCUGUUUCAUUCUCUGUGCCUCAAAGCAUUGACCACCCUAGCACCAAAAACCAGCAGGGUGAGGAAGGACCAGCAGGCCCCUGGAUUUCACUAGUGCCAGGAUUAAAUGUUUGUUUCCACUUCUCAAACCACCAUGUCUGAGGGUUCAAAACACCACUGUGCCUGCUUGCCUCCCCCCUGCCAGGGCAUGGGCACCUACUUCUGUGAAACCUGUCGGAGGUAAGCUGCUGCUGAGAGCUACACAGCACCAAGUGCAGCCCUGUGAAUUUGAGAAGAUAAAUGAAUCCGGAGGAAGAGGCUUUUGCUAUUUCAAUGGGAAAGUGA